Aplysia californica (California sea hare) is the source of this 2582-nucleotide long non-coding RNA. RefSeq lists it as uncharacterized. NCBI's taxonomy places the organism in Eukaryota, Metazoa, Mollusca, Gastropoda, Aplysiida, Aplysiidae. The transcript has 2 exons. The record is from RefSeq and is a predicted model, not a curated record.
AAGAGAUCUUUGUACUAGAAAUAUUCUAAAAUGUGAAGAAUACAACCCUGGGGGUACAAAAUGACCCCAGGGCAUAUGGAUAGGGUUAAGAAAAAUUACAGGGUUUUUUAAUCAGUGGUACCGGUUGUUUGUACUCCUCGAGAAAUAUUUUGUUGAAAUUCAGGCAUAACGUAGAUACAAUUCUUGAAAGAAUGGAACAUUUUAUUCUCACUUUUGAGGAGGAAUUACUGUCAGAUACUACCGAAGAUGAUGAGGCUUUAAUUAAUUAGCUUCAGUUAUAUGUAGUGGGUGGCAACAUUCUCUUUUUUUAAAAAAAUUAAUUUUUUUAAAAGAAAGAAAAAAAAGGAAUUACUUUCCCUUUCUGGGCUUAGAACGUUUGAAGAGCUUGCCGACAACUUGUUGGUUGGUUUAUUUAUUGAUGCUGUCUGCAACGAUUGACGCUCUGUUCGGAGUUUUGUUUUGUCCAUGCCAUGUCUCGUAAGUAAGACCUGUUCUCAGUCGUAGAGAUUGCCUUGCCACCAUUCCAGAAUCACAGAAGAAAAAACCCGCUAAUUUUUAGUCUGAAUCAUUAUGUUGUGAAACUGGUGUACCUUAAAAAAAUACAGGGCGGGGAUGACCCGCGGGGUAUCCCGGCAUGUUUGCUAGCAGUUAGAGAUGGUAAAGGGGUGAAAGAUUCAACUUUUUAAAUUCUGAUUUAUUUUGUUGUUGUUGCCUUUGUGCAGGUAUUCCCUUUUAUCCAUCAGGGUACUACUGGCGUUAGGUCAAAGAUUGUCUGCGCCCGCCUUCUCGAGCGACUUGUUCUGUUUUAUCUGUUCUCGUCUUGCCUAGUGUAGGUCAAAGGUUGUCUGCGCCCGCCUUCUCGAGCGACUUGUUCUGUUUUAUCUGUUCUCGUCUUGCCUAGUGUAGGUCAAAGGUUGUCUGCGCCCGCCUUCUCGAGCGACUUGUUCUGUUUUAUCUGUUCUCGUCUUGCCUAGUGUAGGUCAAAGGUUGUCUGCGCCCGCCUUCUCGAGCGACUUGUUCUGUUUUAUCUGUUCUCGUCUUGCCUAGUGUAGGUCAAAGGUUGUCUGCGCCCGCCUUCUCGAGCGACUUGUUCUGUUUUAUCUGUUCUCGUCUUGCCUAGUGUAGGUCAAAGGUUGUCUGCGCCCGCCUUCUCGAGCGACUUGUUCUGUUUUAUCUGUUCUCGUCUUGCCUAGUGUAGGUCAAAGGUUGUCUGCGCCCGCCUUCUCGAGCGACUUGUUCUGUUUUAUCUGUUCUCGUCUUGCCUAGUGUAGGUCAAAGGUUGUCUGCGCCCGCCUUCUCGAGCGACUUGUUCUGUUUUAUCUGUUCUCGUCUUGCCUAGUGUAGGUCAAAGGUUGUCUGCGCCCGCCUUCUCAAGCGACUUGUUCUGUUCUCGUCUUGCCUAGUGUAGGUCAAAGGUUGUCUGCGCCCGCCUUCUCGAGCGACUUGUUCUGUUCUCGUCUUGCCUAGUGUAGGUCAAAGGUUGUCUGCGCCCGCCUUCUCGAGCGACUUGUUCUGUUUUAUCUGUUCUCGUCUUGCCUAGUGUAGGUCAAAGGUUGUCUGCGCCCGCCUUCUCAAGCGACUUGUUCUGUUCUCGUCUUGCCUAGUGUAGGUCAAAGGUUGUCUGCGCCCGCCUUCUCGAGCGACUUGUUCUGUUUUAUCUGUUCUCGUCUUGCCUAGUGUAGGUCAAAGGUUGUCUUAGCCCACCUUUUACUAGUCUUUUUCUUCUGGGCUUUGUUCUGUGUGUGCUGACAGCUGUAUAUCGACAGAGUCUUUUUACUACUAUAUAGAUGCAAUGUCUUUUAUUUGUUGCUCUCAUUUCUGUUUUUGAGAAGUGCAGACUUGAUUGGUUUUAAUUUUUAAUGAUUUUCUAUUUGUUAUAUAUAUGCAACUGCCGACUUGGUCCUUUGCCAUAGCUUUUCAAAUUUUGGACCCUUUAUGAGCAUAAUAGUGGUUGGAUGAUGUUGGGGUAAAUACGUAAUAAUUAACUGGAAGAUAAAAGGAGACAAGAAAAUUUUUGUUGUUGUGUCCAUUUGUAGAAAAUUUGUUGUAGCUUUUACAAAGUAUGAAGACAAGCACAGUUUUAAAAUCUUUGCAUUCCUAGAUAUACUCACAUUAACCCUAUCCGUACGUCGUGUUUUACUAUCUUAUUUAUAUGACGUGGGGAAGUCUGUGCCACCACUUUCCAAAGAGGAAAUUUACUCAUCAAUCUGAUCCGUACGCUUUUCAUAGCUGUCUGUCAAAAUGAUUUUUUGAGAAAUACUGAAAGAGAUCUUCGCACUAGAAGUAUUCUAAAAUGGGAAGAAUACAACCUCGGGGGUACAAAAUGACCCCAGGGCAUACGGAUAGGCAAUAUUGAAAUACAAAAAUCUGUUAACAGGUUUUUUUUUUCUAGGUUUUUGUCUGAAAAUCAUGACAUGUAUUUUUACUUCAAUAUCUCUCACUCUUUUCCCGGAUGAAACUUGAUUUGUGUGGAGCGCAGAAUUUUUCUUUCUCUCAUGUUCAUGUCUAUAUUUUGAAGGAAAAUGACUGCUACUACUAGGUGUCUGUCCUAAGUGCUUUAGACAUAUCUUUUAGUCCUCAAA